This is a long non-coding RNA of Sinocyclocheilus anshuiensis, 92 nucleotides long. RefSeq lists it as uncharacterized. The transcript is spliced from 3 exons. The record is from RefSeq and is a predicted model, not a curated record. NCBI's taxonomy places the organism in Eukaryota, Metazoa, Chordata, Actinopteri, Cypriniformes, Cyprinidae.
UAGGGGAGCGCGGGGUACAAAGUAACGCGGGAAUUAUGUUUUUCAGCUGAAGGUCAACUACUGGGGAUUUUAAAAAAGGAGAUAAACAGCAC